Molecule: ribosomal RNA, 253 nt
Filed under: uncultured bacterium
Lineage: Bacteria
Description: partial 16S ribosomal RNA
Rfam family: Bacterial small subunit ribosomal RNA
Source: RNAcentral
UACGGAGGGUGCGAGCGUUAAUCGGAAUGACUGGGCGUAAAGGGUGCGUAGGCGGUUGGCUAAGUUAUCUGUGAAAGCCCUGGGCUUAACCUGGGAUUGUCAGAUAAGACUGGUUGACUUGAGUAUGGGAGAGGGCAGUGGAAUUUCCGGUGUAGCGGUGAAAUGCGUAGAGAUCGGAAGGAACACCAGUGGCGAAGGCGGCUGUCUGGCCUAAUACUGACGCUGAGGCACGAAAGCGUGGGGAGCAAACAGG